GUGCCAGCAGCCGCGGUAAUACGUAGGGUGCGAGCGUUGUCCGGAUUUAUUGGGCGUAAAGAGCUCGUAGGUGGUUUGUUGCGUCGGGAGUGAAAACACACAGCUUAACUGUGUGCUUGCUUUCGAUACGGGCAGACUUGAGGGGUGUAGGGGAGAACGGAAUUCCUGGUGGAGCGGUGGAAUGCGCAGAUAUCAGGAGGAACACCGGUGGCGAAGGCGGUUCUCUGGACAUUUCCUGACGCUGAGGAGCGAAAGCGUGGGGAGCAAACAGGCUUAGAUACCCUGGUAGUCCACGCCGUAAACGGUGGGCACUAGGUGUGGGGGACAUUCCACGUUCUCCGUGCCGUAGCUAACGCAUUAAGUGCCCCGCCUGGGGAGUACGGCCGCAAGGCUAAAACUCAAAGGAAUUGACGG
RNAcentral lists this ribosomal RNA (414 nucleotides) under uncultured Propioniciclava sp. RNAcentral's name for it is "bacterial SSU rRNA". It matches the Rfam family "Bacterial small subunit ribosomal RNA", at positions 505 to 916 of the family's 1533-position model. Lineage: Bacteria; Bacillati; Actinomycetota; Actinomycetes; Propionibacteriales; Propionibacteriaceae. The record is from RNAcentral.